RNAcentral lists this ribosomal RNA (496 nucleotides) under uncultured bacterium. RNAcentral's name for it is "bacterial SSU rRNA". It matches the Rfam family "Bacterial small subunit ribosomal RNA", at positions 15 to 507 of the family's 1533-position model. The record is from RNAcentral.
GAUCCUGGCUCAGGAUGAACGCUAGCGGCAGGCUUAAUACAUGCAAGUCGUGGGGCAGCAUGAGUAGCAAUACUUGAUGGCGAACCGGCAAACGGGUGAGGAACACGUACACAACCUUCCUUCAAGCGGGGAAUAGCCCAGAGAAAUUUGGAUUAAUACCCAUAAUAUAUUGAUAAGGCAUCUUUUUAAUAUUAAAGCUUCGGCACUUGAUGAUGGGUGUGCGGCUGAUUAGAUAGUUGGCGGGUAACGGCCCACCAAGUCUACGAUCAGUAGCUGAUGUGAGAGCAUGAUCAGCCACACGGGCACUGAGACACGGGCCCGACCCCUACGGGAGGCAGCAGUAAGGAAUAUUGGACAAUGGACAAAAGUCUGAUCCAGCCAUGCCGCGUGAAGGAUUAAGGUCCUCUGGAUUGUAAACUUCUUUUAUAUGGGACGAAAAAAGGGCAUUCUUGUUCGCUUGACGGUACCAUAUGAAUAAGCACCGGCUAACUCCGUG